This 419-nucleotide ribosomal RNA is filed under the name bacterium. Its description in RNAcentral is "partial 16S ribosomal RNA". It matches the Rfam family "Bacterial small subunit ribosomal RNA", at positions 355 to 776 of the family's 1533-position model. The record is from RNAcentral.
UGGGGGAUAUUGCACAAUGGGCGAAAGCCUGAUGCAGCGACGCCGCGUGGGGGAUGAAGGCCUUCGGGUUGUAAACUUCUUUUGCUCUGAACAAGGCGCACCAUGGGGUGUGUUGAGUGUAGGGGUUGAUUAGCGCCGGCUAACCACGUGCCAGCAGCCGCGGUAAUACGUAGGGCGCGAGCGUUGUCCGGAAUUAUUGGGCGUAAAGGGCUUGUAGGUGGCUGGUUGCGUCUGUCGUGAAAGCUCAUGGCUUAACUGUGGGUUUGCGGUGGGUACGGGCUGGCUUGAGUGCGGUAGGGGAGGCUGGAAUUCCUGGUGUGGCGGUGGAAUGCGCAGAUAUCAGGAGGAAUACCGGUGGCGAAGGCGGGUCUCUGGGCUGUUACUGACACUGAGGAGCGAAAGCAUGGGGAGCGAACAGG